GACAGAGGUGGCGACCGUUGUUCGGAAUCACUGGGCAUAAAGCGCGCGUAGGCGGCAUGGUAAGUCGGGUGUGAAAUCCCUCGGCCCAACCGAGGAAUUGCGCUCGAAACUACCGUGCUUGAGGACAGGAGGGGAGCCUGGAAUUCCUGGUGGAGCGGUGAAAUGCGUUGAUAUCAGGAGGAACACCGGCGGCGAAGGCGAGGCUCUGGCCUGUUUCUGACGCUGAGGCGCGAAAGCUAGGGGAGCAAACGGG
RNAcentral lists this ribosomal RNA (253 nucleotides) under uncultured bacterium. RNAcentral describes it as "partial 16S ribosomal RNA". It matches the Rfam family "Bacterial small subunit ribosomal RNA", at positions 524 to 776 of the family's 1533-position model. RNAcentral also lists the same sequence under 1 other name. The record is from RNAcentral.